CAGGGACAUUUUCACUCUUACCUCUGAGGAUUUUGGUUAAUUUUUGUAAUCUCAGGAUGUAGAAAAUGGAGGAAUUUCAGAUAGACCAGAUGAUGCAGUUGAUGUUUACCACACAUACUUUGGUGUAGCUGUCUCGUGAUCGUGGUCAUUUGAAUAUGCCAGCUGAUGAAAGAGAAAAGAGACACCAGCAUAAUUUCAUGCAUGUAACAACUCAUACAUCUCAAGAAUGGGCUGCAACCUUUGUUAGUGAACUUAAUGAUACUAUUGUGGAAGCUCAACUGAGGACUAGGAAAGUUCCACCUCUACUUCCUAUGAAAGAAGCCGUUGAUCACUAUUUGGAAUCCAAUAAUAGAUGAUUCAGUUUAUUUACAUUAAUUUACUAAGGAAUGGA
Long non-coding RNA from Humulus lupulus (European hop), 391 nucleotides. RefSeq lists it as uncharacterized. The transcript has 3 exons. The record is from RefSeq and is a predicted model, not a curated record. NCBI's taxonomy places the organism in Eukaryota, Viridiplantae, Streptophyta, Magnoliopsida, Rosales, Cannabaceae.